AGAGUUUGAUCCUGGCUCAGAUUGAACGCUGGCGGCAGGCUUAACACAUGCAAGUCGAGCGGAAACGAUGGUAGCUUGCUACCAGGCGUCGAGCGGCGGACGGGUGAGUAAUACUUAGGAAUCUACCUAGUAGUGGGGGAUAGCACGGGGAAACUCGUAUUAAUACCGCAUACGACCUACGGGAGAAAGGGGGCAGUUUACUGCUCUCGCUAUUAGAUGAGCCUAAGUCGGAUUAGCUAGAUGGUGGGGUAAAGGCCUACCAUGGCGACGAUCUGUAGCUGGUCUGAGAGGAUGAUCAGCCACACCGGGACUGAGACACGGCCCGGACUCCUACGGGAGGCAGCAGUGGGGAAUAUUGGACAAUGGGGGAAACCCUGAUCCAGCCAUGCCGCGUGUGUGAAGAAGGCCUUUUGGUUGUAAAGCACUUUAAGCAGUGAAGAAGACUCUUCGGUUAAUACCCGGAGACGAUGACAUUAGCUGCAGAAUAAGCACCGGCUAACUCUGUGCCAGCAGCCGCGGUAAUACAGAGGGUGCAAGCGUUAAUCGGAAUUACUGGGCGUAAAGCGAGCGUAAGUGGCUUGAUAAGUCAGAUGUGAAAU
Molecule: ribosomal RNA, 599 nt
Filed under: uncultured bacterium
Lineage: Bacteria
Description: bacterial SSU rRNA
Rfam family: Bacterial small subunit ribosomal RNA
Source: RNAcentral